This 450-nucleotide ribosomal RNA is filed under the name uncultured bacterium. Its description in RNAcentral is "partial 16S ribosomal RNA". It matches the Rfam family "Bacterial small subunit ribosomal RNA", at positions 354 to 796 of the family's 1533-position model. The record is from RNAcentral.
GUGGGGAAUAUUGGACAAUGGGCGAAAGCCUGAUCCAGCCAUGCCGCGUGUGUGAAGAAGGUCUUCGGAUUGUAAAGCACUUUAAGUUGGGAGGAAGGGCAGUAAGUUAAUACCUUGCUGUUUUGACGUUACCGACAGAAUAAGCACCGGCUAACUUCGUGCCAGCAGCCGCGGUAAUACGAAGGGUGCAAGCGUUAAUCGGAAUUACUGGGCGUAAAGCGCGCGUAGGUGGUUUUGUAAGUGGGAGGUGAAAUCCCCGGGCUCAACCUGGGAACUGCUUUCAAAACUGCUGAGCUAGAGUACGGUAGAGGGUGGUGGAAUUUCCUGUGUAGCGGUGAAAUGCGUAGAUAUAGGAAGGAACACCAGUGGCGAAGGCGACCACCUGGACUGAUACUGACACUGAGGUGCGAAAGCGUGGGGAGCAAACAGGAUUAGAUACCCGGGUAGUCC